CCCAGCUGCCGGGUGCCUAAGCGCCAAAACAUCCGGAAAGUUCCGGGCACAGGUGUGCUAAGGAAGUAUGAUGGUUCCCAGGGUGAGCGCACGAGCUGUAGAUUUGUGUAUGUGUUUGUUAGCAGCAAACAGGCUCCACUCGGGGACCAUGAAAGGUAGCAUUUAUGGGGAGGUGACUUCCUGUGAUAGAAAUGGCUAGAACUGGGGCCGGCACUGUGGUGCAGCAGGUUGAACGACUGCCUACAGUGGCUGGCAUCCCAUACAGGCGCUGGUUCGAGUCCCAGCUACUCCACUUCUGAUCCAGCUCCCUGCUAAUGUGCCUGGGAGGGCAGAGGAGGAUGGCCCAGGUGCUUGGGCCCCUGUACCCAUGUGGGAGACCCAGAGGAAGCUCCAGGCUCCUGGCUGUGGUCUGGCCCCGCCCUGGCUGUUGGGGCCACUUGAGGAGUGAACCAGCAGAUGGAAGACCUCUCUCUCUCUCUCUCUCUCUCUCUCUCUCUGCAACUCUGCCUUUCAAAUAAAUAAAUCUUCAUAAAAAAUGAAAUUGCUAGGAUUUGCCUCGGCUGUGUCCCCACUCCACCAGCUGGUGACAGGAGACAAGGAUCCUCAGACAUUUUGGGAAGCUGUCCCGUCGGGCACUGUGGGUGUAGUGUCAGGACCGGUAGUAGAAGCAGCAGGAGGAGCCCCUGGACUACAGCCGCUACGGACGGUCAGGGCUGACGUUCUCGGAGCGCCAACACAGGCACACAGGGUCCCGAGUUUCCACGGUGGUCUCCAGGUGAGAACCUUCUAGAACUCCCUCCUGGAAGGGAGUUGGACACAGAUCUUCCUCCUCCCCCUCCCCCACACCCCAUAAGGGGAGAAACAGGGUCUGGUGGGCGGAAGCUGACAUCAGCCUGGCUGUGUCCCAGCCAGGGCACCGGCCCCUUCCAGUCCUGGCACAGCCCGUGGCAGUGUUGAGGAGGGAGGCCCUGGCUUUGCCUCCUGCCCGCUGCCCCCAGCCAGGGCCUGGGGGCCACCACCGUCUGCCUCCUGCUGCCAGCACGCCCUUCCACCCAGGACAGGGUCCACGAGGCAGGCGGGGACCUCUGGGCAGUAAUCCUGUUGCGAGUCUCCCCCAGCCUCGGUCUUCCUUCCUGGAGAGGAGAAGGACCCCUGUGUCUGUGCACGCACCUGCCCGGAGCCCCGCAGAGCUCUGCCCACAGGGAGCCCGACUGAGCAGCAGAGAAGGUGACAAGGACAUCAUCACCCCCGGAGUGGACGCCCUGAGGGCCCCGCGGGGGUGGGGUGGGCCUGAUCCCUGCUCUUGGUCCCUGGCAGGGAGCACCCACCUGUGUUUUGUGAAUGAGGAAAAUGCAAAUCCUUGUCUGACUCCAAUACUAAGCAGUGAGCCCAGCGGGAGGUCCCUGCACACCCUGCCGGCGCUGACAGGGAGGACGCGGUGACAAAUGCCAUCUGGGUGACAGUCACCAGGCAGGGCUGGGAGGCGAGAGCGAGGGCCGGGCUGCACACAGCGCGCCGACCGCCAGGCAGCCUUGCCACUUUCCAGAUGUGGCAAUAGAGACCGCAGAGGUCAACAGGGCUGGCACCCAACUUCCCGGGGGGCGCAAACCCCCAUCCACUUCUGGAAGUGCUUGGGUGGGAAGGGGCUCUGUCCGGGUCAUCCACAGCUCCAUCCGGGGCCCGGCACACAGGCAUGGCAGGCAGGGGCAGAGACGGGCCUGGCACGGGAGACCCAGCACUCGUCUCCUCUUCCUCCCGCACCCUCUCCCAGGCACCAAGUUCCAUGGGUCCACAGUCAGCGGGGACAGAGCCUUGUGCACUCUGAGUUAGCCAUCCACCAACUUAGCAUUCCAAAAGAUUAAACACGUGCAAGGCCCACAUGGGACGUCCGUGAGGUGAGCCCGGCUUGUCUGCAAG
Long non-coding RNA from Oryctolagus cuniculus (rabbit), 1917 nucleotides. Lineage: Eukaryota; Metazoa; Chordata; Mammalia; Lagomorpha; Leporidae. The record is from Ensembl.